AUUGAACGCUGGCGGCAUGCCUAACACAUGCAAGUCGAACGGAAACGAUGGGAGCUUGCUCCCAGGCGUCGAGUGGCGGACGGGUGAGUAAUACUUAGGAAUCUACCCAGUAGCGGGGGACAACUCGAGGAAACUCGAGCUAAUACCGCAUACGCCCUACGGGGGAAAGCAGGGGAUCUUCGGACCUUGCACUAUUGGAUGAGCCUAAGUCGGAUUAGCUUGUUGGUGAGGUAAAGGCUCACCAAGGCGACGAUCCGUAGCUGGUCUGAGAGGACGAUCAGCCACACUGGGACUGAGACACGGCCCAGACUCCUACGGGAGGCAGCAGUGGGGAAUAUUGGACAAUGGGGGCAACCCUGAUCCAGCAAUGCCGCGUGUGUGAAGAAGGCCUGCGGGUUGUAAAGCACUUUCAGUAGAGAAGAAAAGCCUACGGUUAAUACCCGUAAGUCUUGACGUUACCUACAGAAGAAGCUCCGGCUAACUCCGUGCCAGCAGCCGCGGUAAUACGGAGGGAGCGAGCGUUAAUCGGAAUUACUGGGCGUAAAGCGCGCGUAGGCGGCUUUGUAAGUCGGAUGUGAAAGCCCUGGGCUCAACCUGGGAAUGGCAUUCGAU
Molecule: ribosomal RNA, 612 nt
Filed under: uncultured bacterium
Lineage: Bacteria
Description: bacterial SSU rRNA
Rfam family: Bacterial small subunit ribosomal RNA
Source: RNAcentral